AAACCCCGGGGGGGUGGGAGCGUGGCUGCCAUUCGACCCAUAAGCUUUUGCGAUCCCUCCCACUCCCACCGCCGCAUCGCAUUCUCCGUUCCGGAGCUCUCUGCUCGCAGCCAUGGCGAAGUGCUACCCGACCGUGAGCGCCGAGUACCAGGAGGCCGUCGAGAAGGCCAGGCGCAAGCUCCGCGCCCUCAUCGCCGAGAAGAGCUGCGCCCCUCUCAUGCUCCGUCUCGCGUGGCACUCGGCGGGGACGUUCGACGUGUCCUCUAAGACCGGCGGCCCCUUCGGUACGAUGAAGAACCCGGCGGAGCAGGCGCACGGCGCCAACGCGGGUCUGGACAUCGCCGUGCGGAUGCUCGAGCCCGUCAAGGAGGAGUUCCCCAUCCUCUCCUACGCCGAUCUGUACCAGCUUGCGGGAGUUGUGGCCGUGGAGGUGACCGGUGGACCUGAGGUCCCCUUCCACCCCGGUAGGGAGGACAAGCCUCAGCCCCCACCUGAGGGCCGCCUUCCUGAUGCUACUAAGGGUUCUGACCAUCUGAGGCAAGUCUUUGGCAAGCAGAUGGGCUUGAGCGAUCAGGACAUUGUUGCCCUCUCUGGUGGCCACACCUUGGGAAGGUGCCACAAGGAGCGAUCUGGUUUUGAGGGGCCCUGGACUAGAAACCCUUUGGUCUUUGACAACUCUUACUUCAAGGAACUUCUGAGUGGUGACAAAGAGGGCCUCCUUCAGCUUCCAAGUGACAAAGCCCUGCUGAGCGACCCUGUCUUCCGCCCUCUUGUGGAGAAAUAUGCUGCGGUAUGCCUGCAGUUAACAUUAUCCAGAUUAUGGAGAUAUGUAAGAGACAUCCUAAUUGUUGAUUGCAUUCUAGGAUGAGAAGGCUUUCUUUGAUGACUACAAGGAGGCCCACCUCAAGCUCUCUGAACUGGGGUUUGCUGAUGCGUAAAUGGCGUAUCCUAGACUACUACGUGCUGCUGCUUGUAUGGGAUCAUGUAAUUUUGUUUUGCAUCUGGAGUCAGUGUGAACCAGCAGAUUAAGUAUCUUGUCUUUAAUAAAUUUGUUACCCUGCCCAUGGCCAUUAUUGAUACUUUGUCGAUGUUUGAAUGGGGGGUGUUUGGCUAGACUCUGAUGCUGUAUGUCACUGAAACUACAAGAUCUAUGAUCUACCUUAUGAAUGCAGUACGUUCUGUUGCCUCAAA
Molecule: RNA transcript, 1191 nt
Organism: Panicum virgatum (switchgrass)
Lineage: Eukaryota; Viridiplantae; Streptophyta; Magnoliopsida; Poales; Poaceae
Gene name: L-ascorbate peroxidase 1, cytosolic
Exons: 8
Source: RefSeq, a predicted model, not a curated record